Molecule: ribosomal RNA, 253 nt
Filed under: uncultured bacterium
Lineage: Bacteria
Description: partial 16S ribosomal RNA
Rfam family: Bacterial small subunit ribosomal RNA
Source: RNAcentral
UACGUAGGGCGCAAGCGUUGUCCGGAAUUAUUGGGCGUAAAGAGCUCGUAGGCGGCCUGUUACGUCUGCUGUGAAAUCCCGGGGCUUAACCCCGGGCGUGCAGUGGAUACGGGCAGGCUGGAGGCAGGCAGGGGAGAACGGAAUUCCCGGUGUAGCGGUGAAAUGCGCAGAUAUCGGGAGGAACACCGGUGGCGAAGGCGGUUCUCUGGGCCUGUACUGACGCUGAGGAGCGAAAGCAUGGGGAGCGAACAGG